AUGGUGGUCCGCACAGUCAAGACUUUAGCUGUCCAACUGAGAGUACUAAGUCUGGAUACGGUUAUUCAGCUGAUGACAUGCUUUCCCUGCUUGGAGAAGCUGUACAUUCAGAUUGCGGAACGUGUGCCAAAGCCAAACUAUUUGUGGCGUCGCAAACAUCGGGAUCUGACCAGAUGUCCUAAUAUCCAUCUGAAGACAAUAGUGUUGGAUUCCUACCGUGGCAUCAAGUCUGAAGUUAACUUUGUGACAUUCUUUGUAUUGAAUGCGAGAGUGCUAGAGCUGGUGAAGCUUCGGGUUUGCUCCUACAAUAAGGAAUUCUUGGCAGAGCAACAUAUGAAGCUUCAGCUGGACGAAAGGGCUUCAAAAGCGGCUCGGAUUCAUUUUACAACUCGUAAUUGUGUCCGUUAUUUCCUGGAUCAUGUCCGUGAUUUGGAUUUAGUUGAUCCAUUCUUAGUGUAG
This 459-nucleotide ribosomal RNA is filed under the name Triticum aestivum (bread wheat). Its description in RNAcentral is "partial small subunit ribosomal RNA". Lineage: Eukaryota; Viridiplantae; Streptophyta; Magnoliopsida; Poales; Poaceae. The record is from RNAcentral.